GGUAUUUACAUAUCUGGGGAAAAUUUCGAUUAUAAAUUUUAAGAUCUUCUGUAUUUAAGUGUCAACAUCGAUUUAUUUAUUUAUUGCUGAGCUGAUCGUAACUGACUCAAUAACAAAUCUAAUCAUGUUUUGCCCUGGAAAAGAACUAUCCUCAUUAUGUAUUUUCGCCAAAUUAUAGCACACUAUUCCACUUGAAUACCAGCUGUAAAUAUCAAUAAUAUCAAGUAAUUACU
Non-coding RNA from Ornithorhynchus anatinus (platypus), 233 nucleotides. NCBI's taxonomy places the organism in Eukaryota, Metazoa, Chordata, Mammalia, Monotremata, Ornithorhynchidae. The record is from Rfam.